CCUACGGGAGGCAGCAGUGGGGAAUAUUGCACAAUGGGGGAAACCCUGAUGCAGCGACGCCGCGUGAAGGAAGAAGUAUCUCGGUAUUUAAACUCCUAUCAGCAGGGAAGAAAAUGACGGUACCUGACCAAGAAGCCGCGGCUAACUACGUGCCAGCAGCCGCGGUAAUACGCAGGGGGCAAGCGUAAUCCGGAUUUAAUGGGUGUAAAGGGAGCGUAGGCGGCGAUGCAAGUCAGAAGGGAAAGCCCGGGGCUCAACUCCGGGACUGCUUUUGAAACUGUAUGGCUAGAUUGCAGGAGAGGCAAGUGGAAUGCCUGGUGUAGCGGUGAAAUGCGUAGAUAUUAGGAGGAACACCAGUGGCGAAGGCGGCUUGCUGGACUGUAAAUGACGCUGAGGCUCGAAAGCGUGGGGAGCGAACAGGAUUAGAUACCCCAGUAGUC
Molecule: ribosomal RNA, 440 nt
Filed under: uncultured bacterium
Lineage: Bacteria
Description: partial 16S ribosomal RNA
Rfam family: Bacterial small subunit ribosomal RNA
Source: RNAcentral